Molecule: non-coding RNA, 74 nt
Organism: Habropoda laboriosa
Lineage: Eukaryota; Metazoa; Arthropoda; Insecta; Hymenoptera; Apidae
Source: Rfam
GGAGUGGUUGGUGUAGCACGCAAAGCUUCGGCUUGCUAAGCCGAAGGUUCCGGGUUCGAUUCCCGUUGGCUCCC